Molecule: non-coding RNA, 152 nt
Organism: Otolemur garnettii (small-eared galago)
Lineage: Eukaryota; Metazoa; Chordata; Mammalia; Primates; Galagidae
Source: Rfam
CAGCAUAUCACCUAAUCUUUGAUCACAUUAUGACAGAAUAGGAAAACAAAAAAACCCAAACCUUGUUAUUUCUCAUGUGCUAUACAGAUAGUUGAAGGUUAAUUAGCAGUAUAACUAUAAAUAGUAAUGCUGCCAGUCUCCUUCAGACAAGA